This 427-nucleotide ribosomal RNA is filed under the name uncultured bacterium. RNAcentral describes it as "partial 16S ribosomal RNA". It matches the Rfam family "Bacterial small subunit ribosomal RNA", at positions 354 to 796 of the family's 1533-position model. The record is from RNAcentral.
GUGAGGAAUCUUCCACAAUGGGCGAAAGCCUGAUGGAGCAACGCCGCGUGAAGGAUGAAGGUCUUCGGAUUGUAAACUUCUUUUAUGAGUGAAGAAUAUGACGGUAACUCAUGAAUAAGCACCGGCUAACUACGUGCCAGCAGCCGCGGUCAUACGUAGGGUGCAAGCAUUAUCCGUAGUGACUGGGCGUAAAGAGUUGCGUAGGCGGUUAUGUAAGCGAAUAGUGAAACCUGGUGGCUCAACCACACAGACUAUUAUUCGAACUGCAUAACUCGAGAAUGGUAGAGGUAACUGGAAUUUCUUGUGUAGGAGUGAAAUCCGUAGAUAUAAGAAGGAACACCAAUGGCGUAGGCAGGUUACUGGGCCAUUUCUGACGCUAAGGCACGAAAGCGUGGGGAGCGAACCGGAUUAGAUACCCGUGUAGUCC